This 419-nucleotide unclassified non-coding RNA is filed under the name soil metagenome. Its description in RNAcentral is "partial contains 5.8S ribosomal RNA, internal transcribed spacer 2, and large subunit ribosomal RNA". The stretch from base 5 to 121 matches the Rfam family "5.8S ribosomal RNA", at positions 38 to 154 of the family's 154-position model. The record is from RNAcentral.
GAUGGAAGAACGCAGCGAAAUGCGAUAAGUAAUGUGAAUUGCAGAAUUCAGUGAAUCAUCGAAUCUUUGAACGCAUCUUGCGCUCCUUGGUAUUCCUUGGAGCAUGCCUGUUUGAGUAUCAUGAGCAAAUCUCAAAGUCAAUUCCUUUUGUUGAUUCAAUUGGUUUUGCUUUGGACUUGGAGGCCUUGCAGAUUUCACAGUCUGCUCCUCUUAAAUGCAUUAGCUGGAUCUCAGUAAUUAUGCUUGGUUCCACUCGGCGUGAUAAGUAUCACUCGCUGAGGACACUGUUAGAAAGGUGGCCAGGAAAAUACUGAUUGAACCGCUUCUAACGGUCUAUUAAGUUAGACAAUUACCCUUAAGUUUGAUCUCAAAUCAGGUAGGACUACCCGCUGAACUUAAGCAUAUCAAUAAGCGGAGGA